CCCAAAGUGCAGUCACGCACAGCCCAGGUCACGCACGCACGCUACUUUGCCCUCACUCGCACUCUCUCGAUCGAUCCCCACCUCUCGCACACGACACCCAGCACGCCUCCGCGAUGCGGCCGCCGCCUGUCGUCGCUCCGGUUAUCGCCGGCCGUCUCCGACGCCGCCGUCAGUCGGCGAAGCUCCUCCACCGAACCCCCUACCAACGCCCCACCGUUUCGACCUCGAGCACAACGCCAUGGCUAACCCUAGCCCGUGGGUCUGGUGCGGUUGCCGGCGCUGCUCCGCCACGCCAACGCCUUCCGGCUCCUCCCCUCCAGCGACCACGCCUCCUCUUCGAUCUCGAGCCCUAGCUCGAGCUCCUGGUAGUGUGAUGUUUCCCCCAAUUUGAUUCUCCUUGGGGAACCCAUGUGCUGCCUCACCUGACCGUGUCGCUCUUUGACGGGCUCUCUCUGGUUUUCCUUCGUCUCGUCUUCAACACCCUCGACACCGGUGGGAAUGGCAACGGCUGCAACCAUGAUGUCCCUGUUUUUCCCCAUUUGGUAAUACUGCUAUGGUGCUCGUGGUGAUGUACUGAUGCGGUGGUGGUUUCGUGGUGGUGGUGUUGCUCCUGAUGUGGUGCUGCUGCGACAACGUCGUUGUGCCGCGUGCUGCAGCCUUGACGCCGGCGGGACGGUGCCACGGACGACGUCGACUACAUCGCCUACUCUACUCCCUAAGUAUUUCACUUUCUUGAUGAACUGAUUGAUGAGCUGCCUCUGCUGGGACAUGUGCUUGUACUAGGAGAGCUGUUAGAACAUCUUUUUCUGUUGGAAUGGAUAUAGGGUUCGGCUGGGAAAGUUGUGUGUGCUAGAAAGGCUGCUGGUGCAGCUGGGUUGUUGUUUAUAUACAGUUGGGCUGCUGCUGUGGUAUCGACAACACAUGCCCUGUAUUCUGUGACUGUGCUGCUUGCAGGUGGCCCCCUCUCCAUGUGUAUGUUUUUUUUUUUUUUGAGAUUUUCCUGGUCUUAGUACAUCUUGUAGUAUCUGAACUCACGCACUACACACUCCUCACGCACACACAACACCACACACACGCCACUCGUGCGCAAGCUAGACCUAACCAAACCUAUACUAAGACAUGAGCCUCCGCGAGCCUAGAUCUUCUGGGAAAUCCCUGCGGUGGUGGGCACACCACAAUACCAGUGUCGAACCGCGGUGGAAAUUGGCUCCGUAGCUUGAACUGGGCUAGACUGAUUUAUGGGCUCAGCCUUCUGCAUAUAUGCAGCCCAUAGGGCCCUCCAGAAAUUUGCUACAGCGCCAACACUGGACACUGUGCAGGUGAGACACUCGGUAAAUUCGCUCCCGGGGAGUCGAACUCACGAGCGGGCAGCCAGCCACUGCUGGGCUUUGCCAACGCGCUACGCGCGCUCCUCUCUCCAUGUGUAUGUUAACAAGUUGGUUUGCUUCUCCUCCUAAUGCAAGCAACGGUUGAGUGAUCUUUAUCGCUUGUUAGAUCAUUCUUUUAUGUGCUGCCAAGUGGUUAAUCUUUAUUGGCUAAUAUUAUGUGAGCUAAAUAAAUCCAGUGUGACUAUUAUGUUAAUUAAGACUUUGCUUAAUUAGCAAGUGGCUUCAAAUAAAUGGAUUAGAAUCAUAUUGACUUCUCCAUGUCAAUAUUGAUUCAAAUAAAUAACUUUGUGGGCUUUUAGAAGAUUCUAGCUAGAUUAGAGGGAAUUAAUAUUGCUGCCUUGUUGCCUAAAGAUCAAUUGGAUCCAGUGCUUCCUCUAGUCCCUUGUGUUGCCUUGAAUUAUAAUUACUCAUUGUUGAUUCAUGAUCAGUGUUGCCUCUCCUGAUCCAAGUGUAUUCUAUUUAUCCCUGUUAUUGCUAAGAAAAAUAUUUCUCCCUCUAAUCACUAUUUGGGGAUCAAGAUUAGUUCUUGACUCCCAUUAGCUAGUUUCCAACAUUAAAAUGCCUCAUCAUGGAUGGUGGCAACAUUUUAAUAUUCACCCAACCAUUUACUUUUUCUUUGUUGUUUGUUUUGCAGGUAGAGAAGAAUCAGAAGUUUGAGAUCAAGCUUUAGUUUAGGAAUUCUUACUAUUAUUCUUUUUGUGUUGUUUUAUUUCUUUUUUUAACUUGUAACUUUAUUGGAUAAUGUUAUUUGUAAUAAAGUUUAAAUUACUUA
Long non-coding RNA from Lolium perenne, 2160 nucleotides. RefSeq lists it as uncharacterized. NCBI's taxonomy places the organism in Eukaryota, Viridiplantae, Streptophyta, Magnoliopsida, Poales, Poaceae. The record is from RefSeq and is a predicted model, not a curated record.